This 229-nucleotide small RNA is filed under the name Arabidopsis thaliana (thale cress). RNAcentral describes it as "ATSL134340". The record is from RNAcentral. Lineage: Eukaryota; Viridiplantae; Streptophyta; Magnoliopsida; Brassicales; Brassicaceae.
ACGUUCAACGUCUGGACCAAUUCUUUUCAACUAACCAAACUGAAUGGCUAGCACUAGCAUCUCGUAAAUGUUUAACCAUCAUCAUACCUGUUCAAUGAAAUACACCAGUAGUUGUUCUGCAAGUUCAUGUUCGCCUGAUUGUGAAGCCGUUUCCAUACAGUCCUUGUACAUGUUGUCUUUCUUUGAUAAUGCAAUUGAUUGCUUCCAUCUGCCCGCUUUCUUGUAGAUA